AUCCCACAUCAAAACACAGGACUAAUCCUCAAACAGGGAGCUGAUAGCAGAUACCAGGAACUCACCCUUUAUGGCUGAGAUUCUCGAACUAAGGAAUUUAAAGCCAAGCUAAUACCAUUUGAAAGGUGAUGAAAGUUAGGACUUCGAUGAAAUGUACUUGAUUUAAGACACGUAAACUAUUGCCAAGUGAAUUCUGACGAGACUUCCCCAAAGCCUCCAGGUAAAAAAAAAAUGAAAGAGGGACUAAAACCAAGUAAAAUUUCAAAUAUAAUUGAAGAUUGCCAUUAAAACUGAUGUGUUCCUAAUGAACUCAACAUCGGAGUCGGACGUGAUAGAGGGAAGCCAGCUGCCAUGUUGUGAGUGCCUUAUGGAGAAGUCCUCAUGGCAAGACAUUUAGGUCUCCAGUCAACAGCCACCUGAGUGAGACUGGAGAUGGUGGCAGCCCCCAGCUGGCACCUGAGAGACUCUGAGUCAGAAGCACUCAGUUAAGCCACACCCAGAUUCUUGACUCAUAGAACUUGUGAGAUAAUAAAUGUUUGUUGUUUUAA
Long non-coding RNA from Equus quagga, 548 nucleotides. RefSeq lists it as uncharacterized. NCBI's taxonomy places the organism in Eukaryota, Metazoa, Chordata, Mammalia, Perissodactyla, Equidae. The transcript is spliced from 2 exons. The record is from RefSeq and is a predicted model, not a curated record.